Molecule: ribosomal RNA, 229 nt
Filed under: uncultured bacterium
Lineage: Bacteria
Description: partial 16S ribosomal RNA
Rfam family: Bacterial small subunit ribosomal RNA
Source: RNAcentral
GUAACGCGUAUGCAAUCUACCUUUCACAGAGGGAUAGCCCAGAGAAAUUUGGAUUAAUACCUCAUAGUAUAAUGAGUUGGCAUCAACACAUUAUUAAAGUCACAACGGUGAAAGAUGAGCAUGCGUCCCAUUAGCUAGAUGGUAAGGUAACGGCUUACCAUGGCUACGAUGGGUAGGGGUCCUGAGAGGGAGAUCCCCCACACUGGUACUGAGACACGGACCAGACUCC